UACAGAGGUCUCGAGCGUUAGGCGGAAUCACUGGGCUUAAAGCGUGUGUAGGCGGAUCGUUAAGUACCUUGUGAAAUCCCACGGCUUAACCGGGGAACUGCGUCUGAUACUGGAUGGCUUGAGUGUGGGAGAGGGAUGCGGAAUUCCAGGUGUAGCGGUGAAAUGCGUAGAUAUCUGGAGGAACACCGGUGGCGAAGGCGGCAUCCUGGACCAUGACUGACACUGAAAAGCGAAAGCCAGGGGAGCAAACGGG
RNAcentral lists this ribosomal RNA (253 nucleotides) under uncultured bacterium. Its description in RNAcentral is "partial 16S ribosomal RNA". It matches the Rfam family "Bacterial small subunit ribosomal RNA", at positions 524 to 776 of the family's 1533-position model. The record is from RNAcentral.